Molecule: long non-coding RNA, 846 nt
Organism: Cyprinus carpio carpio
Lineage: Eukaryota; Metazoa; Chordata; Actinopteri; Cypriniformes; Cyprinidae
Source: Ensembl
GCAAAUGAGGAUUCGGACUCGCGUAUGAUUCCAGCUGACAAUAACUCUUGGAGGUGAGCUCUCACAGCAUCGACGUCCUGAGGGUGAAUAGGUCUAGCCCUAUGCUUGAACGGUGUCUCAUUGCUUAGUUUUAUUUGAUGUUUCACUUUUGCCGUGUGACCAUAAUCAAGGUCAUGCUGCGAGAAGACUUCAGGCCUAGAACUCAGAAACUUUGAGAUCCUCUCCUUCCAUUCUGCAGAUAAAGGGGAGUCUCCAAAAUCAAAGGUGAGGUUGCCAGUGUUACGUUCUCUCUCCACUGGUUCCUUGCUUAAACCUUGAUGCUGGCCCAUGAUCCUCUGGACUGCAUGGAUUUCCGCUAACACAGUUUUAGGAGUAAGUCGUAUGUCAGUUUGUGUCUCAUUCCUCAGCAGGACUGAUAACUUAGUUGGAUGCUUAUGGGGUAGAGAGUGCAGACAGCUUGCAAUCAAGAUUCCAUUCGGCAAAGGGAUCGAUGGUGGUUCAAGGGCCACCCAUCCUUUCAUGUAGGGCCCAUUCAGAUGAACUGCACCAUCCAAAACUACUGUACUUUUUGCAGGUAUAACUUCCACAGAGGUCCCUUUCACUUUUACACACCCAAGGUUCUCGCUGGUAGCUCGAAUCCACCUGGCCUCCAACACUCUAAGUACUGCCUGAUAUCCACAAAGACUGGACUGAAGCUUCACUGAACUCUCUUUGGCACUCUUGCUAUACAACACAUCAAGGGAUUAGUUCCAACUAGGAUCUGUGGGGAACUCGUCAAGUCUGGCACCACCAACGCCAAAGUAGGAAUUUCAACUUCCACCCCAAUGAACGUUGCAGGAAACUUUA